UGGUGGAGUGAUUUGUCUGGUUAAUUCCGUUAACGAACGAGACCUCAGCCUACUAAAUAGUCGGAGGAAUAUUUAUAUUCCUUUUCGACUUCUUAGAGGGACAUUCGGUUUCUAGCCGAAGGAAGUUUGAGGCAAUAACA
This 140-nucleotide ribosomal RNA is filed under the name uncultured eukaryote. RNAcentral's name for it is "partial 18S ribosomal RNA". It matches the Rfam family "Eukaryotic small subunit ribosomal RNA", at positions 1299 to 1458 of the family's 1831-position model. The record is from RNAcentral.